AUUCCAGCUCCAAUAGCGUAUAUUAAAGUUGUUGCAGUUAAAAAGCUCGUAGUUGGAUUUCUGGUCUAAGCGCCUGGCCGGCUCCGCAAGGGGUCGUGCAUGGGUACCUUGGUCCAUCCUCAGGGGAACUGUCACUGGUAUUCAUUUAUCGGUGUUGGGACGCCUGUCGUUUACUGUGAACAAAUUAGAGUGUUCAAAGCAAGGUGUACUUGAAUACAUUAGCAUGGAAUAAUAAGAUAGGACUUUGGUGGUUCUUUUUGAUAUUUUGUUGGUUUGCACGCCAAAGUAAUGAUUAAUAGGAGCAGUUGGGGGUAUUCGUAUUCAAUUGUCAGAGGUGAAAUUCUUGGAUUUAUAGAAGACGAACUACUGCGAAAGCAUUUACCAAGGAUGUUUUCAUCG
This 399-nucleotide ribosomal RNA is filed under the name Pedinellales sp. RNAcentral describes it as "partial small subunit ribosomal RNA". It matches the Rfam family "Eukaryotic small subunit ribosomal RNA", at positions 582 to 975 of the family's 1831-position model. The record is from RNAcentral. Lineage: Eukaryota; Dictyochophyceae; Pedinellales.